CAGAGUUCAUGCCCUUACGGGUAGAUCUCCCACCCUUUGAGUACUAUACUUUUGUUGCUUUGGCAGGCCGCUUCGGCUACCGGCUUCGGCUGGUGAGUGCCUGCCAGAGGACCCAAACUCGUUUGUUUAGUGAUGUCUGAGUACUAUAUAAUAGUUA
This 157-nucleotide unclassified non-coding RNA is filed under the name uncultured Helotiales. Its description in RNAcentral is "sequence contains ITS1". Lineage: Eukaryota; Fungi; Ascomycota; Leotiomycetes; Helotiales. The record is from RNAcentral.